UUGUUCUUAAUCCUAGAGAUAUAUGUCUUCUUUGUCCUUCAAAACAUCUCUUAUUUCUUUCCGGCCAAAAAGUCCAAAAGAUGCAUAACGGAAUAGUUCUCCAAAAUUGCUGCUGUCUUUUAGCUAUUCUUUGGCUCUGCCAGCUCACCAACAAACUCCGAACACUGUGAGGCAUUACCCAGGACACUCCACAAAUAUUCAGGAUUAGAUCUCAGCACUGCCUUGAGACUUCACAAUCAGAAAUAAAGACAUCAAGCAUUGGUUGCAGUCACAGGACAAGAGCCUUAUCUUGUUGCAAUCGGGCUUGUAGGAGGAUAUUCUCUGGAGUACCGGAAGAGGUUGCGACUGCAGUCUAAGCAGUAUCUACCUCUAGUUUAAAGAAUAUUUGUCCAAUCUUGUGGUGGCUCUAAUGUAUGUCAAAGUUUGCUAUCAUCCCCCGGAAAUAGCGGACAAAGAAUCUGCUAUUUCAUAUAUGUUUAAGUGGAGAAGUAAAUAUGUUUAAUAAUAGGAUUUUAUAUCUGAUAUUGCCUUUCAUAGUUCUCAAAGAGUGUAUGUGUAGAACAAGCACAGCUGCACAAUUGUUAUUUAAAUG
Molecule: long non-coding RNA, 592 nt
Organism: Nicotiana attenuata
Lineage: Eukaryota; Viridiplantae; Streptophyta; Magnoliopsida; Solanales; Solanaceae
Exons: 3
Source: RefSeq, a predicted model, not a curated record